GACGAGAGUCAAACGAAUUGUGGAUAUGAUGAUGGAACGGUCCGAAGUAUGACAAGAGGAGCAUACUCACCGAGGACUAAAUCGCGUAAUGACCGCGAACAAGGUUAAUGGCAAAGAACGCCCGUCGGGGAAAACAUUACCAGGAGCCAAAAAGGGUUUUUAUCAAAACCCUAAAUCACAAGAAAUUCAGCCAAAUCAAGGGAAAUCAAGCUAGGAAAUUGGGGCUUUUAAUAAAUUAGUGAUCACCAAACCUAGGGGAUCACAAGUUUGACGCCUAACAAGCUAGGUGGAAGCUUGUGGAUGAAGCGAGUCAAACGGAGCGCGUACGGAAAGAAAGGCGUGGCAUGGAUGCAAGGUGUAAAUGUCAAAUGGGUAUUAGCAACGCUAUGAAUUAGCGGUUAUAAAAGCAAGGUAUUAAAAACGGGUCAAUAUAUUGAUCUGCGCCAGGUAUGUGAAAAAGGGUAACCCUCAUUUAGAACAUGUGGUUCAAAGAGUGUUAAAAGUAGUCAAGGUGAACAUUUGGUUACUUGAUAAGUAAACCAAAUGUUUUAGGUAAGGAACAUUGUAUUUGGAAAGCUUAAUGACUUUUCAAAUAAAAUCAUAGGUUAAAAGAGGGAUUACGGGUCAAAAUAAGCAUACGAGUGAAAACGGGUUUAAAUUGUGUAAUAAACCUGUGAUUAUAACCUAAUAUGGUAAAUAACCUUAAUUUGAAGUAGUGUACGUGAUAUAAAGGUUAAACAAGUAUGUUUGUUUGAUAAACGUAUAAACGGGUCAAAAUUUUGGUAAAAGAGUAAUAAGCCGAAGACUUAAAAGUCUUAAAUUUUAUUAAUCCGGAUGUUGGAUUU
Helianthus annuus (common sunflower) is the source of this 845-nucleotide long non-coding RNA. RefSeq lists it as uncharacterized. The transcript has 4 exons. The record is from RefSeq and is a predicted model, not a curated record. Lineage: Eukaryota; Viridiplantae; Streptophyta; Magnoliopsida; Asterales; Asteraceae.